GGCUGAAGGGUUAAUUUGAAGGGAAAGCAACCCCAGCAGCUGGGAGCAUAAAAAUUGAGAAGGAAGCAUUGAGAGCCUAAAGGAAGGCAGAGGUAGGCAGGCUUGGCUGCUGCUAUUUCUGGUCCCUUCUCCAGAACCAAGGGGUGGAGCUGGCUGCGACACUGGAAAUGAUAUAUAGCACUACAGGGGGUGACCUGCUUGAACACCCCAAUAAAACAUGGUGGUGGUGAAGGAGAUCUGAAGUGAUGUGGUCUGUGACUAAGGCCUGAAAGGACUCUCUGAGAACCACCCCAUGACAGACAAUAAGCCAUUGUACUGCAGACCUUAUGAGUUGUCACACUGAAGUCAAUGGGACUACUUAUGUGAGUCGGGGCUGGAGGAUAGGAUCUCAAUCUGUGUGAAUGAGUCAGCAGCACAAUAUUUAAGUUUUCUGUCCAGAUCACUUCAAGGAGGAAAAGAAUGAGAGCUCUUCUGUCAAGGGGAAAAGGAUCUAUAAUAUAUGUGACACCUCCAUCCUAUGGGGCAUCAGGAUAUUUUUAGGCCUUCUUAUUUUAGGCUGUCAGGAGUUCAGUGAGGAUCCAGGAAAUACUAGUUUCAUCAGAACAAAGAAACAGAUGCCACUCAUUCCAAGACAAUAGAUAGUGAGGUGAAGGCAGCAGUCCUGUAUCCAGAGAGAAACAGAUUCCUCACUGAUCUGAUUGGGUUUCAGACAAUUUCAUUCACUGACAUUCUGGGUAUGUUGGAGGGCUUGGUGCUGCUACCUGGAAUUUGGAUGUGUGCUCCUGAUUACUAAAAUCAAGUGGGAUCAAGUUGGGUCUAUUGCUGG
Long non-coding RNA from Mauremys reevesii (Reeves's turtle), 826 nucleotides. RefSeq lists it as uncharacterized. The record is from RefSeq and is a predicted model, not a curated record. The transcript is spliced from 5 exons. Lineage: Eukaryota; Metazoa; Chordata; Testudines; Geoemydidae.